This 379-nucleotide ribosomal RNA is filed under the name uncultured eukaryote. RNAcentral describes it as "partial 18S ribosomal RNA". It matches the Rfam family "Eukaryotic small subunit ribosomal RNA", at positions 592 to 976 of the family's 1831-position model. The record is from RNAcentral.
CAAUAGCGUAUAUUAAAGUUGUUGCAGUUAAAAAGCUCGUAGUUGAACUUCAGACCUGGCCGGGCGGUCCGCCGCAAGGUGUGUACUGUCUGGCUGGGCCUUACCUCUUGGUGAGCCGGCAUGCCCUUUACUGGGUGUGUCGGGGAACCAGGACUUUUACCUUGAGAAAAUUAGAGUGUUCAAAGCAGGCCUAUGCCUGAAUACGUUAGCAUGGAAUAAUAAAAUAGGACGUGCGGUUCUAUUUUGUUGGUUUCUAGAGUCGCCGUAAUGAUUAAUAGGGAUAGUUGGGGGCAUUCGUAUUCCGUUGCUAGAGGUGAAAUUCUUGGAUUUACGGAAGACGAACUUCUGCGAAAGCAUUUGCCAAGGAUGUUUNCAUUAA